AGCGAACGCUGGCGGCAGGCCUAACACAUGCAAGUCGAACGAACUCUUCGGAGUUAGUGGCGGACGGGUGAGUAACACGUGGGAACGUGCCUUUAGGUUCGGAAUAACUCAGGGAAACUUGUGCUAAUACCGAAUGUGCCCUUCGGGGGAAAGAUUUAUCGCCUUUAGAGCGGCCCGCGUCUGAUUAGCUAGUUGGUGAGGUAAAGGCUCACCAAGGCGACGAUCAGUAGCUGGUCUGAGAGGAUGAUCAGCCACAUUGGGACUGAGACACGGCCCAAACUCCGAAGGGAGGAAGCGGUGGGGAAUCUUGCGCAAUGGGCGAAAGCCUGACGCAGCCAUGCCGAGUGAAUGAUGAAGGUCUUAGGAUUGUAAAAUUCUUUCACCGGGGACGAUAAUGACGGUACACGGAGAAGAAGCCCCGGCUAACUU
RNAcentral lists this ribosomal RNA (429 nucleotides) under uncultured bacterium. RNAcentral describes it as "partial 16S ribosomal RNA". It matches the Rfam family "Bacterial small subunit ribosomal RNA", at positions 29 to 503 of the family's 1533-position model. The record is from RNAcentral.